CCUACGGGUGGCAGCAGUGAGGAAUAUUGGUCAAUGGGCUUACGCCUGAACCAGCCAAGUCGCGUGAGGGAAGACUGCCCUAUGGGUUGUAAACCUCUUUUGUCAGGGAGCAAUUGGCGCUACGUGUAGCGUUAUCGAGAGUACCUGAAGAAAAAGCAUCGGCUAACUCCGUGCCAGCAGCCGCGGUAAUACGGAGGAUGCGAGCGUUAUCCGGAUUUAUUGGGUUUAAAGGGUGCGUAGGCGGAAUGCCAAGUCAGCGGUAAAAUCGCGGGGCUCAACCCAGUAGGGCAAAAGAUACUGCAAAGCUAGAGUAUGACAGAGGCAAGUGGAACUACAUGUGUAGCGGUAAAAUGCGUAAAUAUAUGUAAGAACACCAGUGGCGAAGGCGGCUUGCUGGGUCGAUACUGACAUUGAGGCACGAAAGCGUGGGGAGCAAACAGGAUUAGAUACCCUUGUAGUC
RNAcentral lists this ribosomal RNA (460 nucleotides) under uncultured bacterium. Its description in RNAcentral is "partial 16S ribosomal RNA". It matches the Rfam family "Bacterial small subunit ribosomal RNA", at positions 338 to 795 of the family's 1533-position model. The record is from RNAcentral.